RNAcentral lists this ribosomal RNA (254 nucleotides) under uncultured bacterium. RNAcentral's name for it is "partial 16S ribosomal RNA". It matches the Rfam family "Bacterial small subunit ribosomal RNA", at positions 524 to 776 of the family's 1533-position model. The record is from RNAcentral.
UACGGAGGGUGCGAGCGUUGUCCGGAAUCACUGGGCGUAAAGCGUGCGCAGGCGGUCUGUUAAGACCGAUGUGAAAUCCCCGGGCUUAACCUGGGAACUGCAUUGGUGACCGGCAGGCUUUGAGUGUGGCAGAGGGAGGUAGAAUUCCACGUGUAGCAGUGAAAUGCGUAGAGAUGUGGAGGAAUACCGAUGGCGAAGGCAGCCUCCUGGGCCAACACUGACGCUCAUGCACGAAAGCGUGGGGAGCAAACAGG